GGGUAGCUAAGUACGGACGGGAUAACCGCUGAAAGCAUCUAAGCGGGAAGCCUCCCUCGAAACGAGGUCUCGCCUGAGAGCCGUGGAAGACCACCACGUUGAUAGGCCGGGUGUGGAAGUGCAGCAAUGCAUGAAGCUAACCGGUACUAAUCGCUCGAUCGGCUUGUUCUUUCCCC
RNAcentral lists this ribosomal RNA (176 nucleotides) under Rhodospirillaceae bacterium. Its description in RNAcentral is "partial 23S ribosomal RNA". It matches the Rfam family "Bacterial large subunit ribosomal RNA", at positions 2743 to 2925 of the family's 2925-position model. The record is from RNAcentral. Lineage: Bacteria; Pseudomonadati; Pseudomonadota; Alphaproteobacteria; Rhodospirillales; Rhodospirillaceae.